UGAUUUAGAUGGUAGGUUUUCAUAUUUGGAUAUGUAGGUAUGGCGGUUUAUAUGGUGGAGGGAUAUAGGAGAUGGCAGUGGGGAGUAGGAGGGGUUGGUGUGCGACGGUUGCUGGGGAAAAUAGAGAGAUAAAGAAGAAGAUUGUUGUAAAAGAAUAAACAUGUGGAGCCCACUAACUAUUCAUUACUAUUCAUUUGGAGACUUUUGGUAGAGUUUGUCUGUCACGGGUGAAUAGUGAAUAGUGAUGAAUAGUGAUUAUUUCAGCCUAUAAAUAAGAAGAGAAACGGAAAGAGAAGGGAAGAAAAAAAGAAGAGGAAAGAAAACAAAGAAAAAAGGAAACGGAGAGAAGAAAAGGAAAGAAGGAAAGAGAGAAGAAAAGGAAAGGAGGAAAGAGAGAAGAAAAGGAAAGAAGGAAAGAGAAGAGGAAAGAGAAAGGAGGAAAGAAAAGAGGAAAGAGAGUCAGGCAGAGAAGAGGAAGAGAAGGAAGAAAUAGGGUGAGUGAGCAGAGAGAAAAUUCAGUGAGCCACACAUAUUGUAAACACUAAAGUUGUAGCCCUAUUAUUUUACAUAGUGGAAAAGUUACUAUUGCUGCUCUCCGGGGACGUAGGCAUAGCCGAACCUCGUUAAAUACUGUGUCUCAUCUACUUUACGUGCAGCUCAAUAUUCGCACAUAUUCCAGGUCAUUUUGUAACACGUUAUCAGCACGAGAAGCUCUCAGGUAUAAUUUUUGUGCUGCACUAUUAUUUAUACUACUAACCAUUAUGUUGAUGUAAAGAAGAAAAGCCAACGCAUCUAGCUUUCCACUAAUAUAUCAGUAUAAAAUAUAUAUAUAUAUAUUAUAUAUGAAAAGUUGAUGGUAAUAUAAUAUACUAUAUUUAUCUGCUUUUCUAUUACUAACCAUUAAUAAAAAUGGACCCUUGGUAAUACUAAACAUAUUAUCAGUGGGAGACCGUUACUAAUACUAACACUUUCCUUAUCUUGUUCAGUGGUGGUUUUUAUUCCCACAUUUAUUUUAUUUACUGUAUGGUGUAGGUUUAUUACCCAUACGACAGUAUUUAUUUAAAAGGGUGGUGCAGGUUUAUCGCCCACGCCUUUGCUUUUAUUUAAAUGUAUGGAGCAGAAUUAGUGCCCAUACAAGCACGUUUACUUUAUCGCAAAUUUACUUUUACUUAAAGUAUUAUUUAUGGUAUGGUGUAGGUUUAUUACCCAUACGGCAAUAUUUAUUUAAAGGGUGGUGCGGGUUUAUCGUCCACGCCUUUGCUUUUAUUUAAAUGUAUGGAGCAGAAUUAGUGCCCAUACAAGCACGUUUACUUUACCGCACAUUUAAUUUUAUUUAAGGUAUGGUGCGGGAUUAACGUCCAUACAGCAAGCUUUUAAUUUUAUUUAAGGUAUGGUGCGGGAUUUACGUCCAUACAGCAAGCAAUUUAAUUUAUGAAUUUAAUUUACUGCACAUUUACAUUUAUUUAAAAGGGUGGUGCGGGUUUAUCGUCCACGCCUUUACUUUUAUUUAAAUGUAUGGUGCGGGUUUAUCGUCCAUACCAGUAAUUUAUUUACCAGCAAUUUAUUUUAUGGAUUAAUUGUGCUGUAUGAUGAGUUUUUACAGUAUGCAGAUCAGGACCAGAAGUUCCUUGAUCCUCAUCAUACAAUUACAUCAGGACUUGAAGAUCCUUGAUGAUGAUAUUAAUAUGAGAGCUGGCAGUCUCUCCGGUACUGUAUUUGUAAACAUGUGAUCGAAAUUAAGGGUCCUUGAUCCCUGACAUGUAAAUAAGGACCUAGAGUUCCUUAAUGAUGUAACAGUACCGUAUUGGUUCAUAGUGCCGUACACAUUGAUGAUAACUGUACUGGCAGAUGAAUAGAUACGUAUUCAUGACUUGAUGAAUAGUACUAUUCACAUGAAUAGUGACGUAUGCAUAAAUAUGAACCAUUUUGGGUAAACCGUCACUAUAUACAAAAGGGAACCUGCAGUUUCAUAGUGCCGUACACAUUGAUGAUAACUGUACUGGCAGAUGAAUAGAUACGUAUUCAUGACUUGAUGAAUAGUACUAUUUACAUGAAUAGUGACGUAUGCAUAAAUAUGAACCAUUUUGGGUAAACCGUCACUAUAUACAAAAGGGAACCUGCAGUUCCUUAAACUCAUGAAUGAACAAUUAAAUGAGAUGCCAGAAGUUCCUCAAAAUAUGGACAAUUAUGUAAGGGCUUGAAGUCCCGAAAUAUGUACAGAAAAUUGUAAAAAUGUCAAUACCAUGAGAAUAUGUGGCUUUGGCCUGAAGUUCAAAAUUUAACAGUGUUGAGAACCUGAAGUUCCAACAAUUAAAUGGACAACCCUUGAGGUAUUAUUGCAAAUUGUGGUAUGCCACAUAUUUCUUUAGCAUAAGAAGAUGAUGAAUUUAAAGUUCGAUUUUGUUAUAAUCGACACCUCAAGGAAGAAAUAUAUUUUGUGAAUUCCGGUUGUUUAGAAUACACCGCGAAAUAGAUAAUAUCAAUAUAAACCUCAAAUAAUGAAUUGAGGCUCCCCACAUAUUUGGUUAUAUCUGGGCCGGAAGCCCAUGGAUCCAAAUAUAUGAGAGAUCCUAAACUUGAAGUUGUGGGUAUAUAGUAGUUAAUGCUCUUCACUACUAUAUUGCGAUAUUAUCAUGGCUUUUACUCAAUUCACAUUUCAUGUCCAUUUGAAAAGGGCAAAUAAAUUCUGAGUUUGUGCCCAGGCCAAAAGUUCUGGGCUACCAUGCAAUUUGGGAGAGACAAUGUGGUUAUUUGAACCUAUAAGGCACAAGGUUCCAAACCGUCAUUUUGAAAAGACGUAAAAACCACAGGUGCAAGUUUAAGAAUGUGCGCAAUUAUUAUUAUAGGAACAUACAACAGAUAGAUUUUUUUCCACCUGCAAUGAAGGUGCAGACCCUGUAAAAUCUAUAAAAUUACAUUAUGUUCUGGAAGCCUCUGAAGGAAGAGUACGGCGCCUCUUAAGCUUGGCCAUGAGCUUCUCGUGGUCUCCCAAAAUUCUUUCAUUGGAGACCUGCAGCAUGUCUAGCCUUCUCAGUGUAUCAACGGAGUACGAACUCACCAGUUUCAACAAGGAAUUAUUCUCUCCUUUAAGUUUCUCAACCUCCUGUUGAGACUCAUGAAGCAUUCUUUGAAGAGACGAAUUUUCAGUUGUCAGCUUCUCAACCUCGUUUGCUCUAGCACGCAAACGAUCAGCCAUGUUAGAAACAGAAGCAGCACUCUGAAUGCUAAAAGCCAUUGAGUCAUCAAUAGCCUCUUCCUCAGACCUCCCUGUUAACAGCAUUUCAUCCAUUGGAGUAAUGAAAUUCCUAGCUACUAUGACAGCAGUAGCAUCAUUCAUCAUCACAGAAUCAUUAACUGUGAGAUGACGAUUUUGGGAUACAAAGGAUGGACGCCAAACUUGGGCAUCAUUGGUAGUUGUGGGAGCAUCAUUUAAAUUGAAAUAAUUUGGGCAUGAAGAAGAGGAAGCCAUUUUUGAGAAGGUUUCGAAGAAAGUCUUAGGAAAACUAAAGUUUCAGAAAAUGAAGAAAUUUGAGUUGAAACGCAGUUGCUCCAAUCAAGUUUUGCAAAGGCCAUAUCUAUAGGAGGAAAUAUGGCUACUGUUUUUCAGGACCCCAAUAUCUUCUCGAAUCCCCAUAUUAUCUUUUUCUUUCACAAAGUCCAAAACUUCACGUGGCCUCUAAUAAUGCCUGUCGGCACUUUCGGGGUUUUCAAGUAUUAUUUUCAAAGCCGAUCUUGCUUUACGGAUUUCACGGAGCUACUUUUUCAAAAGCAUCCCGAGAAUCUCGCAAUUUUCCUAUGGUUAAUUUGAAAUUCACCGGGUUCUACCUAUUCAUUGUAAUUUGUUGUAUAAUUGUGUUACUAACGAAAUUUUCNNNNNNNNNNNNNNNNNNNNNNNNNNNNNNNNNNNNNNNNNNNNNNNNNNNNNNNNNNNNNNNNNNNNNNNNNNNNNNNNNNNNNNNNNNNNNNNNNNNNAUGCGAUAUCUACUUGUUUUUCUCAUCAGUGAGCACGCAAUAUGCCCGAGAAGCAAGAUUAUCUCUGAUCAUCCAUUCAGGAAGCAAGACUAUCCCUGAUCAUGUUUCCGCUACAUCAGGGAACUGUGAAGGCGACCUUAUGCUCUAAUCUCCGGAAGUCCUUCUAGACUAGGAGAUAUGAGAGCUUAUUGUCUGCUCCCACCAGCUUCCUUCCCUGAUUGCUUACCUUACCUUGCAAUCAAUAUCACAAUUUUUGUAUCUUUUCUUUCUUUUUAUAACUCUUUGUUCAUAAGAGAUUUUAUUUCUUUAGAAUGAACAUCUGAAGAAUGAAUCCAUGCAGUGAUCCUAACUCUGAGAGUUAUUUGUUUUUGACAGAGAAGAGAAUUGUGAUUUUUGCUCUUGCAGGAUAUAACAAGAUCAUCAAGCGAUACUUUAUAUUUACUGGGCCGAUACGAGCUUGAAUGAUACUUGAGAAAAGUUUCUCCCACCUAAGGAUGUAAGCAAUACUUGUGUUAUUUUAUGCUUAUAUACCUAUUUGAUAUUUUAUCUUGAAAGGUAACCAAAUUGGGAGAUAAGUCCGUUCCAAAAGAAUGGCUUGUAUGUAUCCAUGAAUUAUUAAAGCAAAUUUUACAGAUUGCAAGUUGGAUACAUUGAUAAUACACUGCACAGAUUAAAGUCCCAUAAGAACAGAAUAUGGGUAUAGCAGUGAUCAAUAUGGGUGCACGCCUGUUGCGUAGCAAAUGAUAUGGAUUGAAGUCCCGAAAGGACAAUCCUUUGACAUGUCAAUAUUGAUAUUAUGCACGCCUAAUGCGUAGCAAAUUAUAUGGGUUAAAGUCCCAUAAUAUGGGUUAAAGUCCCAUAAAUUAAUUGACAUGUGUGUAUUAAUCUGUGGCAUGACAGAUAUAUGGGUUCUAAAUGUUCCAACUCCCUAAAUGGAGAUUAUCGACGCUCUACGAUAAAAUAACGCUUCAUUGGAGGUUAUAAUCCACAUUCUCACAUAAUAAAAGCCCUCUGAAGUGGUUUGGGUACCCAAAAGCAAAGAAAUGCUUAUAAUUGAUGCAUGCGCAUGCAAAUGAGAAUGGUGAGAUCAUGAAUUGAUGAAUGACAAUUUUUGGUUUUGGAGUAGCUACUCAAAUCAUCAAUGGGCUGUGUUGAUUGGAACCACGUUCAAUUAUUAAAUGUCGACAAUAUUAUUGGCCAAAAUGGAACGAGGUAAUUCCAUUAUAAAUGAGAAUGAACGUGAAAGAACAAACCCACAGUACGAACCCCAAAUUUGUCAAUACUGAAAGUUAUACUUGGGUGUUCGGAAUAAAAGGGAAUAUACCUACUUUGUAUGACACAAUGUUUCUGGCAGAAACAAGGAAUGUUGGGUUUUCUCCAUAUUUAUAGAUUCAAUUGUGCCCCCCUUAUUACACAAUUACGGAGACCAACAUAUUAUCUUUAAGGGUUAUUAAAUGCACAGAGCAUAUCACCUGAAGUGAUUCCCUAAAGAUGUAUAAAUAGCUGGGUUAAAGCUAUAUAAUGUGUCAUAAAGUUUAAUCCCUUUUAAACAAAAUCCGUUGAGCAGAUUGACAUUGCAUAAAGCAAGUCCCUAAAGGACAUGUGCUUGAAGCACAAAAUUUGUACUCAAUAUUAAUAUGCAUAAAUUACCUCAGUGAGUACAUUGAUUAUAAUGUGAUUGCAACACAUUAAAGCUUCUGCAGAAUUCACGAAAUAUUUGUCUCGACUUAAAGAUCGAGCAUUAUGCCAACGAGAUUCUUGCUUAUACUGAGAAAGUAUUGAAGCAUUUUUAUGAGGAUUAUCCGUUGGGCACUUUAAGGAUUUUCCGGAAGUAUAUUGGACCGGACAUCAUAUUUUCCAGAUAAGGCUCAACUCCAUCACCAUCAUUUUGGGAUGAUGUGAGGUAUAUUUGAUGCUAUCUCCGCAUAACACCAUGUAUGGGCAUAUUCUUUCAUAUGAUCUUACAAAUAGCCCAGGUUUUGUUGGAAACGCGGACUCUGAAAAUUUUUAUGAUUUCCAUAGAGAUAGCUUACUGGAAAUAUAUUUACUAUAUGAAUUGUUGGUGGCUACAUCAUUCACUCACUCCGAAAGAUUCUCACUCCAAAGAUAGUUAUGAAGACAUCAGGGGGAGAUAUUAAUCAGGGGGAGCAUCCAGAAGUAUGCUAUACAGAUUGUUGUACUCUUCUUUCCAUCAGUUCUCUACCUUACUAGGUUUUCUCCAAGCAAGUCUUUAAUGAUACAACCAACAUAUCAUUAGUGGUCUCCAAGGGGGAGUGUUGUAAAAGAAUAAACAUGUGGAGCCCACUAACUAUUCAUUACUAUUCAUUUGGAGACUUUUGGUAGAGUUUGUCUGUCACGGGUGAAUAGUGAAUAGUGAUGAAUAGUGAUUAUUUCAGCCUAUAAAUAAGAAGAGAAACGGAAAGAGAAGGGAAGAAAAAAAGAAGAGGAAAGAAAACAAAGAAAAAAGGAAACGGAGAGAAGAAAAGGAAAGAAGGAAAGAGAGAAGAAAAGGAAAGGAGGAAAGAGAGAAGAAAAGGAAAGAAGGAAAGAGAAGAGGAAAGGGAAAGGAGGAAAGAAAAGAGGAAAGAGAGUCAGGCAGAGAAGAGGAAGAGAAGGUAGAAAUAGGGUGAGUGAGCAGAGAGAAAAUUCAGUGAGCCACACAUAUUGUAAACACUAAAGUUGUAGCCCUAUUAUUUUACAUAGUGGAAAAGUUACUAUUGCUGCUCUCCGGGGACGUAGGCAUAGCCGAACCUCGUUAAAUACUGUGUCUCAUCUACUUUACGUGCAGCUCAAUAUUCGCACAUAUUCCAGGUCAUUUUAUAACAAAGAUAAGUUUUUUAUAUUAAUUUUUCAAUUUUUUAAUUAAAUAAGUAAUUAAUUAAUUAAUAUUAUUAUUAAUACUAGCCCCU
RNAcentral lists this long non-coding RNA (6881 nucleotides) under Prunus persica (peach). RNAcentral describes it as "long non-coding RNA (PPER_LNC005141)". Lineage: Eukaryota; Viridiplantae; Streptophyta; Magnoliopsida; Rosales; Rosaceae. The record is from RNAcentral.